GUGUCAGCAGCCGCGGUAAUACGUAGGGUGCAAGCGUUAAUCGGAAUUACUGGGCGUAAAGCGUGCGCAGGCGGUUGUGCAAGACAGAUGUGAAAUCCCCGGGCUUAACCUGGGAACUGCAUUUGUGACUGCACGGCUAGAGUGUGUCAGAGGGGGGUAGAAUUCCACGUGUAGCAGUGAAAUGCGUAGAUAUGUGGAGGAAUACCGAUGGCGAAGGCAGCCCCCUGGGAUAACACUGACGCUCAUGCACGAAAGCGUGGGGAGCAAACAGGAUUAGAAACCCCCGUAGUCC
RNAcentral lists this ribosomal RNA (292 nucleotides) under uncultured bacterium. Its description in RNAcentral is "partial 16S ribosomal RNA". It matches the Rfam family "Bacterial small subunit ribosomal RNA", at positions 505 to 796 of the family's 1533-position model. The record is from RNAcentral.